UGGCUCAGUCAGUAGAGCAUGCGACUCUUGAUCUCAGGGUUGUGGGUUCAAGCCCCAC
RNAcentral lists this transfer RNA (58 nucleotides) under Felis catus (domestic cat). It matches the Rfam family "tRNA", at positions 8 to 63 of the family's 71-position model. Rfam says of the family: Transfer RNA (tRNA) molecules are approximately 80 nucleotides in length. Their secondary structure includes four short double-helical elements and three loops (D, anti-codon, and T loops). The record is from Rfam by way of RNAcentral. Lineage: Eukaryota; Metazoa; Chordata; Mammalia; Carnivora; Felidae.